AGAAGAGAAAAAACAUCAAUUAGAAAAUAGAAAAGAGCCCUCCCUGGUGAAUUCCUGCUUCUCCUCCAUGUCAUCAUAGGUGUUGAUGGUGCUUGCCUCUGGAUAAUGCUGACUUCCUCUAGAGUGGUCACCAAGGUGAAAUGUUGGUGCCAAAUGAACUUUUCUGGUUCUUCUGAAUAUGCCACUGUUGCUGGAGAAAUGUCACUGCUAGAGAACAGAAGACUAUUAUUCCAAAGGGUAUUUGAGACUGACUGAAUCAGGUCUGGAACAUUAUUGAAAUGAGACCCACAAAAGAAGAGAUACUGAGGUGGUGACCAGAUGGAUAUAAACGGGCUGUGGAAAAAGAGAAUGCAUGGCCAAAAAUGGUGGUGCUCUCUGUCCAAAAACUGAGGCCCUAUGACCAUGAAUGAAGCCAGAGGGCAGGUAGGAAUAGAUCAUUUGCUCCAGAAGAAGCUGGUUGCCAUGUCUUGAGGACAGUAAACCCUCUGGGGAGGUUCCUGUGGUAAGGAACAAGGGCUCCUGGCAAUAGCCUCUGAGUGAGCCACCUUGAAAAUGGAUUGUCCAGCCCCAGUCAAGCUUUCAGAUGACUGUAGCUCCUGCCAAUGUCUUCACCACAACCUCAUGAGAUCCCAAGCUACAACCACUCAGAACUUCAUCUUUUGGGAAGCACCAGGGAGAGCUGCCUGUGCCUGGCAGAAGCUGCCCAUGCCCCACUGAUACCCCACAGUACUUCCUGUUCUGCUUAGUACUCCUGCUUCUUUCUACAAACAACUGUGAUUCUCUACCUGGGAGCUUCCUCUGGCCACAGGAGCCUGCUCACCUGAUUGGGACACCCUAGCAGUACUGGCUCAUAGAUGGAAGGGACUUGCCUUGUCGCUGAUGAGACUUUCGACUUGGACUUUUGAGUCAAUGCUGGAAUGAGUUAAGACUUUGGGGAACUGUUGGAAGGGUGUGAUUGUGUUUUGAAUUGUGAGGACAUGAGAUUUUGAAGAGGCUAAUGGCAGCGUCCCCACCUAAAUCUCUUCUUGAAUUGUAGUUCCCAUAAUCCCCACGUGUCGUGGGGUGGAGCCGGUGGAGAUAAUUGAAUCAUGGGAACACUUUCCCCCAUGCUGUUAUUGUGAUUGUGAAUUCUCACGAGAUCUGAUGGUUGUAUAAACGCCUUCCCUCUUCGCUGGGCACUCAUUUUUCUCCUUCCUGCCACCAUGUGAAGAAGGAUAUGCUUGCUUCUUGUGCCAUGAUUACAAGAACACACUCAGAAAUUUUCUCAACACAGUUUCUAUGCAGAGAAGAGAUGUGGGACAGAUUUGAACUGCUGUCAUAUUUGUAUGAACCCAAGACAUUUUCCAAGACCAAGAGGGAUAAAGACAGCAAUUUCUAUGACUGGCAUUUUACGUGCAUGCACUGUUUCCAAGUGUUCUUGUGUUCUGUGCCUUAAACAUUCUGUGUUGCAACUUUAUGAAUUGAAUUAAAGAUAAUCCCAAGCCCCCAAUUGUCUCAAAAAGUGAAAAAGUAAAUGUUAUAGAAAGAAAAGCGGGAAAAACUUUAAGCAUGAAAUAAAAGAUGGGUUGUGAUAAAAGAGGACUGAAGAAGGAAAAGGAAUGAAAGGUUCUGCCAUCCUUCAUGGCAGCCCACUCCACUUGGUAUGAGAUACUGCUCCCUUGGCUGAAAGUUAACUGCUGUACUCCCUCCACUUUCUAUAAAUGACUCCCUGUGCCUUUCCUUCACCACACAACUCACACUCUCUUCCUUCCUAGUGAGUCCACUAAGGCUUCACUGCAUUAUUACAUUUAUUUCAUUUAGGAAAAACUGACUUUAUUUUCCUUCAAAUUGUUUUUUAUUGUUUAUAUGAGCUUGGUUUUAUUGUCAUUCUAUUUUUCUCCAUGAAAAUAGAGAAAAAUAGGGUCGAAAGGUUAGGUUGGGUGGAAAGGAAUUAUAUUUUUUCUCACUAAAAUUGAUGUAAAUAUCGUUUUCAAUUGAAUGAUUUUACACAGUGGCACAGUUUCAGGUAUGUUGCUAAGCAGGAAAGUUGUUAACCAAAGCAUGAAUGUAUUAAGGAGAUGUAUGCAGAAUGACAUGCAAGGUUAUCUAUGAUUGCUGAGUGAGAAAGAGCAAGUUGCUGAGUAUUAUAUAAGUAUGAUCUCACUUUUGUAAAAAAAAAAAAAAAAAAAGGCCUGGACUGAUCUGAAAUGACCCUAUUAAUAACAAUUAUGUCCAGGUCUGUAUUGCAUACUUGUCAUUCAUUACAGGAUCUUGAGACACAAUGCAAAGGAUCACAUCGCAGCUCUGUAACUUGUUAACUAUAAGAUUUUGAGUAACAUAACACCUUACUCCUUAAAAUUGCUUAAAAAAAAUCUGAACAUCAGGAAUAUUCUACUUCACAGGGUCGUUGUGAUAAUUAAAUGUAGUAAUCAAUGACAAUAGUGCCAGAUACAGUAGAUAGCCUACACUUUGCAGCUACUAUUUCUAUCUAUCAUCCAUCUAUUAAUAUAUAUCAUCUAUCUUUAACUUAUCAUCUAUCUUGUUCCAGUUUUUUAAAAUGAACAUGUAUUAACUUUGUAAAAAAUUAAGGCUAUAAGAUGUGCUGAGCUUUUGGAAUAGAUUUUCCUGUACUAUAUAUGACUGCCAGUGGGAGAAUUUGAAUAAAUGUGUAAAUUUGACUAAAUCUGAAUAAAUGUUCAUUUGACGGGACCAUAGAUUUGGGGGUCUAGCACUAGCUCUGUUUCUACACUCCUGCUGCUGCCUGAUAGAGAUGCCUCUCUUGUUUUGGACUCCAAGGUAAAGUAAGCCUUUUCAUUUUGUGCAUCAUAAUUUAAAAUGACAAAUGGAAUCUAUUUUUUUCUCCAUCUAACGCAUAUAUAGCUACCAUUUAUUAAUUCUUGUUUCCUUCUUAUGUUGCUCUUUGUUGUCAUUUUUAAGGGAAGAAGAGACUGGGUCACGGGAAUGCUUUAAUGUGGAAACCCUGAAUUCGUUCCACACAUCUGCCUUCUGGGGACACAGGUAAAUGAGGCCGAGUAGUGAAGUGGGAAGUUCCUGAAAAUGUGACAGCAAGCCUCUGUCCACUGCCAGACCGAAGACAGGGAGGCGCUCAUCGGCAAAUUAAUGGAUGUUAAAGGGAAGCAAAAUAACACCAAGAUAGACUCAUGAAUU
Molecule: long non-coding RNA, 3147 nt
Filed under: Homo sapiens (human)
Lineage: Eukaryota; Metazoa; Chordata; Mammalia; Primates; Hominidae
Description: HSALNT0114827
Source: RNAcentral